AUUGAACGCUGGCGGCAUGCUUUACACAUGCAAGUCGAACGGUAACAGGCCGCGAGGUGCUGACGAGUGGCGCACGGGUGAGUAAUGCAUCGGAACGUGCCCAGUCGUGGGGGAUAACUACUCGAAAGAGUAGCUAAUACCGCAUACGAUCUAUGGAUGAAAGCGGGGGACCGUAAGGCCUCGCGCGAUUGGAGCGGCCGAUGUCAGAUUAGGUAGUUGGUGGGGUAAAGGCUCACCAAGCCAACGAUCUGUAGCUGGUCUGAGAGGACGACCAGCCACACUGGGACUGAGACACGGCCCAGACUCCUACGGGAGGCAGCAGUGGGGAAUUUUGGACAAUGGGCGCAAGCCUGAUCCAGCAAUGCCGCGUGCAGGAAGAAGGCCUUCGGGUUGUAAACUGCUUUUGUACGGAACGAAACGGCUCUGGUUAAUACCCGGGGCUAAUGACGGUACCGUAAGAAUAAGCACCGGCUAACUACGUG
This 482-nucleotide ribosomal RNA is filed under the name uncultured bacterium. Its description in RNAcentral is "partial 16S ribosomal RNA". It matches the Rfam family "Bacterial small subunit ribosomal RNA", at positions 30 to 507 of the family's 1533-position model. The record is from RNAcentral.